UUCAUAUAUUGGCAAUCAUUAGCUUAGGGCUUGGGCCCUAAAAGACACAUCAUCAGCUUUAGCGCAAUCUUGCAAAACUACAUUGCCAGAUUUAAUCAAAUACUUUAGUUAUUUUAGUUUGCGUGUGUCCAUGUAUGAUCCUUAGAUACCCCUUUCUUUGUAUGUGUUAUGCAUUAUCUUUAUCUACUGUGUUGAUUGUUAAGGACAUUUCCUUCUUUUUAUUGAACUUAUUCGAGUAUAUUUGC
Molecule: long non-coding RNA, 245 nt
Filed under: Phoenix dactylifera (date palm)
Lineage: Eukaryota; Viridiplantae; Streptophyta; Magnoliopsida; Arecales; Arecaceae
Description: long non-coding RNA (PDAC_LNC019512)
Source: RNAcentral